Salvia miltiorrhiza (redroot sage) is the source of this 628-nucleotide long non-coding RNA. RefSeq lists it as uncharacterized. The transcript is spliced from 3 exons. The record is from RefSeq and is a predicted model, not a curated record. Lineage: Eukaryota; Viridiplantae; Streptophyta; Magnoliopsida; Lamiales; Lamiaceae.
AAUUUAGGGUUAAGGUGCAGAUAGGCCCCUUAAGUAGAGGCCCUUAUAGCGUUUUGCUCCCCUUACUCACUGUGUGUGCAACUAAACCCCUAAAGUUCAAAAAAGCGCACAAAUUGGCCCCUCUGACCUGACGCCGUUAGUCAACAUCCUAAUCGAAGACACCAAGAAGAAACUAGGGUUUUGGGAAGACGAAGAAGGAAAGCAAGUUAAACAACGAGCCAUUGAAAGAGCCAGCGCGAUUGAAGCCCGGAGGAUCCCAAUCAGUAGUUAUCAAUGAGGGUACACAAAGAGAAAGUGAACCAAAUGUGAAGUUUCCCAUACCCAAUGAAAGAGAGCUCAGAAGGGAAAAAAGAAUGGAAAAGAUGAAGAGAGUCCCAACAUCAGCUGGUGAGAGCUCGAAGAUGAAGACGGCUGCAUCAAAGCGUUUGAAGGCUCCAAAAGUUCAAACUGAAGUCCAGCCACCAAUGCUCAGAAGGUCUCCUAGGAAACUAAAUGUUAUUUCUACUGCUGGAUCCACAACAGGCAGUUGAACACUUAAAUUUCUAGUGUUUUGGAUUGUUAAGCAAACAACAACCUCUAUUUUUUGAACGUUGUUCAGCCAACAAACAACAACAGUGUUUUGAAGUGA